This 1004-nucleotide long non-coding RNA is filed under the name Nicotiana tabacum (common tobacco). RNAcentral describes it as "long non-coding RNA (NTAB_LNC016390)". Lineage: Eukaryota; Viridiplantae; Streptophyta; Magnoliopsida; Solanales; Solanaceae. The record is from RNAcentral.
AUAUUUGUGAGCCAUUUUCAAUAGGCCAGGUGCAUUUUUGGCCCUUUUCACUGUAAAUUCAGACAUGUCUUGUGUUUUCUUUCACAGCAGCGGUUUUCUAAAUUCAGAUUGAGCCAUCUUGUUUGGAGUUCCUCGACACGUUCGGUGCCGUUGCUAGGCUACUCAUAGUACCUCUUUGUAGUUUUCCUUGAGAACAUGUGAACAGAGUAAGAAUCUUGGAAGUCCUCGGAGCCUCCAUGUGGACAAAUCAGUACUUAAUUUUUCACACACCUAACAUGCUUUGAUUCACAUUUUUUCCCUUUUUUAUUUCUUUAUACUUUGCACUGCGGCAACACCGACAACUAAUUUCUUCCGCCAAAAAAUUACACUGUAUAUAAAAGGUAAAAUUUAUUUUUUAUCUUUAUAUAUUAUGUUUUGAAUCCCUUCGACACAAUCCAAAAAUAUAGCUUAGUAAUCAAGAAGGUUUAAAAUCUUUGUGAGGUCAUUGGUCCAAUUCCACUAGCUAUAAUUUCUUUUAAUUUUUAAUUUUUUUUUAACCCCUUUAGCAGAAAUUGUGCCUCCGCACAACUUUGGUGGAAGAUGAGUCUUCCUUGCUGGAGGAAUAACUUGGCGCAUCCCUUUCGCAGUUUCGCGACUUUGGCAGAGGCUUUGGUUAAAGAACAAAAUAUGUUGCCCUCAGAGAUGGUAGUCAUUAUUCGAGAUCUGUUCUUCUUGGCCAUAUCCAAAGAAGUGAAGUAAUCAGUGUUAGGUUUUUUUAUAUGAUAAAUAAGAGGUGUGGAUUAUAUGGAGAGAAAAAAUUUGAAAGGAAACAAAAUGUUUGAAGUGUUGCUUUUACUUAGACACUUUGUUCCUCAUAGGAAAAUGUAAAAAAAAUAACAUUGCGAUUAUAUGGAACGCACAUCUUCUAACUCUUAAAAAAGUUGAGAAGAAGUGGUGCCUCGCCCCGCCGUCGUUGCACGCUCGACUUCAGAUUUGAUAAAUUUUCUCGACUAAAUUUAUUUCCC